AAGUCGUAACAAGGUCUCCGUUGGUGAACCAGCGGAGGGAUCAUUACUGAGUACUACACUCUCUACCCUUUGUGAACUAUUAUACCUGUUGCUUCGGCGGCGCCCGCAAGGGUGCCCGCCGGUCUCAUCAGAAUCUCUGUUUUCGAACCCGACGAUACUUCUGAGUGUUCUUAGCGAACUGUCAAAACUUUUAACAACGGAUCUCUCGGCUCCAGCAUCGAUGAAGAACGCAGCGAAACGCGAUAUGUAAUGUGAAUUGCAGAAUUCAGUGAAUCAUCGAAUCUUUGAACGCACAUGGCGCCUUCCAGUAUCCUGGGAGGCAUGCCUGUCCGAGCGUCGUUUCAACCCUCGAGCCCCUGUGGCCCGGCGUUGGGGAUCUGCCACGGCAGGCCCCUAAAACCAGUGGCGGACCCGAAGGGCCCUCUCCUUUGCGCAGUAGCAUUCGCCUCGCAUCGGGAGUCCUCGGCGUCCUGCCUCUAAACCCCCACAAGCCCGCUUCGGCGGCACCAAGGUUGACCUCGGAUCAGGUAGGAAUACCCGCUGAACUUAA
Molecule: ribosomal RNA, 550 nt
Filed under: uncultured fungus
Lineage: Eukaryota; Fungi
Description: eukaryotic LSU rRNA
Rfam family: 5.8S ribosomal RNA (bases 186-339)
Source: RNAcentral